UGAAUCAUAAUAACUUAACGAAUCGCAUGGCCUUGCGCCGGCGAUGGUUCAUUCUUAUUUCUGCCCUAUCAACUUUCGAUGGUAGGAUAGUGGCCUACCAUGGUAUCAACGGGUAACGGGGAAUUAGGGUUCGACUCCGGAGAGGGAGCCUGAGAAACGGCUACCACAUCCAAGGAAGGCAGCAGGCGCGCAAAUUACCCAAUCCCGACACGGGGAGGUAGUGACAAUAAAUACUGAUACAGGGCUCUUUUGGGUCUUGUAAUUGGAAUGAGUACAAUUUAAAUCCCUUAACGAGGAACAAUUGGAGGGCAAGUCUGGUGCCAGCAGCCGCGGUAAUUCCAGCUCCAAUAGCGUAUAUUAAAGUUGUUGCAGUUAAAAAGCUCGUAGUUGAACCUUGGGCCUGGCUGGCCGGUCCGCCUCACCGCGUGUACUGGUCCGGCCGGGCCUUUCCUUCUGGGGAACCUCAUGCCCUUCACUGGGCGUGUUGGGGAACCAGGACUUUUACUUUGAAAAAAUUAGAGUGUUCAAAGCAGGCCUUUGCUCGAAUACAUUAGCAUGGAAUAAUAGAAUAGGACGUGUGGUUCUAUUUUGUUGGUUUCUAGGACCGCCGUAAUGAUUAAUAGGGAUAGUCGGGGGCAUCAGUAUUCAAUCGUCAGAGGUGAAAUUCUUGGAUUGAUUGAAGACUAACUACUGCGAAAGCAUUUGCCAAGGAUGUUUUCAUUAAUCAGUGAACGAAAGUUAGGGGAUCGAAGACGAUCAGAUACCGUCGUAGUCUUAACCAUAAACUAUGCCGACUAGGGAUCGGACGGUGGUGGUAUUUUGACCCUUCCGGCACCUUACGAAGAAAAUCAAAGUUUUUGGGUUCUGGGGGGAGUAUGGUCGCAAGGCUAAACUUUAAAGAAAAUUUGACGGAAGGGGCACCCCCCAGGGCGUGGGAGCCCUGCCGGCUUUAA
Molecule: ribosomal RNA, 953 nt
Filed under: Capnodiales sp. Rco012EF4
Lineage: Eukaryota; Fungi; Ascomycota; Dothideomycetes; Capnodiales
Description: SSU rRNA
Rfam family: Eukaryotic small subunit ribosomal RNA
Source: RNAcentral